Molecule: ribosomal RNA, 429 nt
Filed under: Chloroflexota bacterium
Lineage: Bacteria; Bacillati; Chloroflexota
Also listed under: 1 other name
Description: Chloroflexi bacterium partial 16S ribosomal RNA
Rfam family: Bacterial small subunit ribosomal RNA
Source: RNAcentral
UAGGGAAUCUUCGGCAAUGGACGAAAGUCUGACCGAGCAACGCCGCGUGAGUGAAGAAGGUUUUCGGAUCGUAAAACUCUGUUGUUAGAGAAGAACAAGGACGUUAGUAACUGAACGUCCCCUGACGGUAUCUAACCAGAAAGCCACGGCUAACUACGUGCCGGCAGCCGCGGUAAUACGUAGGUGGCAAGCGUUGUCCGGAUUUAUUGGGCGUAAAGCGAGCGCAGGCGGUUUCUUAAGUCUGAUGUGAAAGCCCCCGGCUCAACCGGGGAGGGUCAUUGGAAACUGGGAGACUUGAGUGCAGAAGAGGAGAGUGGAAUUCCAUGUGUAGCGGUGAAAUGCGUAGAUAUAUGGAGGAACACCAGUGGCGAAGGCGGCUCUCUGGUCUGUAACUGACGCUGAGGCUCGAAAGCGUGGGGAGCAAACAGG